This 961-nucleotide ribosomal RNA is filed under the name Streptococcus suis. Its description in RNAcentral is "bacterial SSU rRNA". It matches the Rfam family "Bacterial small subunit ribosomal RNA", at positions 39 to 982 of the family's 1533-position model. The record is from RNAcentral. Lineage: Bacteria; Bacillati; Bacillota; Bacilli; Lactobacillales; Streptococcaceae.
GCGGCGUGCCUAAUACAUGCAAGUAGAACGCUGAAGUCUGGUGCUUGCACUAGACGGAUGAGUUGCGAACGGGUGAGUAACGCGUAGGUAACCUGCCUCAUAGCGGGGGAUAACUAUUGGAAACGAUAGCUAAUACCGCAUAACAGUAUUUACCGCAUGGUAGAUACUUGAAAGGAGCAAUUGCUUCACUAUGAGAUGGACCUGCGUUGUAUUAGCUAGUUGGUGAGGUAACGGCUCACCAAGGCAUCGAUACAUAGCCGACCUGAGAGGGUGAUCGGCCACACUGGGACUGAGACACGGCCCAGACUCCUACGGGAGGCAGCAGUAGGGAAUCUUCGGCAAUGGGGGCAACCCUGACCGAGCAACGCCGCGUGAGUGAAGAAGGUUUUCGGAUCGUAAAGCUCUGUUGUAAGAGAAGAACUGUGAGAAGAGUGGAAAGUUUCUCACUUGACGGUAUCUUACCAGAAAGGGACGGCUAACUACGUGCCAGCAGCCGCGGUAAUACGUAGGUCCCGAGCGUUGUCCGGAUUUAUUGGGCGUAAAGCGAGCGCAGGCGGUUUGAUAAGUCUGAAGUAAAAGGCUGUGGCUUAACCAUAGUACGCUUUGGAAACUGUCAAACUUGAGUGCAGAAGGGGAGAGUGGAAUUCCAUGUGUAGCGGUGAAAUGCGUAGAUAUAUGGAGGAACACCGGUGGCGAAAGCGGCUCUCUGGUCUGUAACUGACGCUGAGGCUCGAAAGCGUGGGGAGCGAACAGGAUUAGAUACCCUGGUAGUCCACGCCGUAAACGAUGAGUGCUAGGUGUUGGGUCCUUUCCGGGACUCAGUGCCGCAGCUAACGCAUUAAGCACUCCGCCUGGGGAGUACGACCGCAAGGUUGAAACUCAAAGGAAUUGACGGGGGCCCGCACAAGCGGUGGAGCAUGUGGUUUAAUUCGAAGCAACGCGAAGAACCUUACCAGGUCUU